AUUGAACGCUGGCGGCAGGCCUAACACAUGCAAGUCGAACGGUAACAGGAAGAAGCUUGCUUCUUUGCUGACGAGUGGCGGACGGGUGAGUAAUGUCUGGGAAACUGCCUGAUGGAGGGGGAUAACUACUGGAAACGGUAGCUAAUACCGCAUAACGUCGCAAGACCAAAGAGGGGGACCUUCGGGCCUCUUGCCAUCGGAUGUGCCCAGAUGGGAUUAGCUAGUAGGUGGGGUAACGGCUCACCUAGGCGACGAUCCCUAGCUGGUCUGAGAGGAUGACCAGCCACACUGGAACUGAGACACGGUCCAGACUCCUACGGGAGGCAGCAGUGGGGAAUAUUGCACAAUGGGCGCAAGCCUGAUGCAGCCAUGCCGCGUGUAUGAAGAAGGCCUUCGGGUUGUAAAGUACUUUCAGCGGGGAGGAAGGGAGUAAAGUUAAUACCUUACUCAUUGACGUUACCCGCAGAAGAAGCACCGGCUAACUCCGUG
RNAcentral lists this ribosomal RNA (489 nucleotides) under uncultured bacterium. RNAcentral's name for it is "partial 16S ribosomal RNA". It matches the Rfam family "Bacterial small subunit ribosomal RNA", at positions 30 to 507 of the family's 1533-position model. The record is from RNAcentral.